ACGGGAGGCAGCAGCUAAGAAUAUUCCGCAAUGGACGAAAGUCUGACGGAGCGACGCCGCGUGGAUGGUGAAGGUCGAAAGAUUGUAAAAUCCUUUUAGGAGUGAAGAAUAAGCGGUGCAGGGAAUGGCAUCACGGUGACGGUAGCUCCUGAAUAAGCAACGGCUAAUUACGUGCCAGCAGCCGCGGUAACACGUAAGUUGCGAGCGUUGUUCGGAAUUAUUGGGCGUAAAGGGUAUGUAGGCGGUCGUGCAAGCUUGGUGUGAAAGGCAGGGGCUCAACCCCUGGACUGCAUUGAGAACUGCAUGACUUGAAUUGCUGAAGGGCAGCCGGAAUUCCAGGUGUAGGGGUGAAAUCUGUAGAUAUCAGGAAGAAUACCAAUGGCGAAGGCAGGUUACCAGCAGAUGACUGACGCUGAGGUGCGAAGGUGCGGGGAGCAAACAGGAUUAGAUACCCUGGUA
This 459-nucleotide ribosomal RNA is filed under the name uncultured Treponema sp. Its description in RNAcentral is "partial 16S ribosomal RNA". It matches the Rfam family "Bacterial small subunit ribosomal RNA", at positions 341 to 792 of the family's 1533-position model. The record is from RNAcentral. Lineage: Bacteria; Pseudomonadati; Spirochaetota; Spirochaetia; Treponematales; Treponemataceae.